Molecule: long non-coding RNA, 584 nt
Organism: Musca domestica (house fly)
Lineage: Eukaryota; Metazoa; Arthropoda; Insecta; Diptera; Muscidae
Exons: 3
Source: RefSeq, a predicted model, not a curated record
UCUUCCCCCUCGAUAAUUAUUGUAUGUACCAGGGCGUCGAAAUCUACUCCAAAUCUAUCGUCCAGAUUAUAUAGAAAUUUUUAAUACAAAUAACUUGCGGGCGUUUUUUUGGCGGAAGUCGGACACACUUAGAAAAAGAUUGUAACCAGCGCUGGCAACUGUAACUUACAUUUUCAUUCAUUGUAAAAGAAUGCAGGCCGCAGGAGGAUUAUUUACGUACGCCACUUGGCCGCAACAACCGGUUAGGACUCGAUGAGGAUGCUGACUCUUUUGACGUCAGGCCUACCGAGCCGACCACUCUUUGAUUCUCAGAACUUUGGCGUACCAGGGCUUAGCCUCAACCACGGACUGGGCAGCGGCGCUUUCUUUAUAUAAAAAUUUGCUGACCUCCUCCACCGAAAACUUGGAGGGGUCAGAUAUCUAGCCGUCUUUUGUUGGGGUGUUAUCUUAAAAGAAAAAACACAGCAUCGAAACACCAAAAAGACAUACACUAUUAGAACAACAGAAACUUACAAAAUUUUGGUCACACACACACAUACAUAACAAUCGGCAAAUAAAAAUAAAAAAUUUUACGAAAACUUUAA